AGAGUUUGAUCCUGGCUCAGAACGAACGCUGGCGGCAGGCCUAAUACAUGCAAGUCGAGCGCAUCCUUCGGGAUGAGCGGCGGACGGGUGGGUAACGCGUGGGAAUAUGCCCUUCUCUAAGGAAUAGCCUCGGGAAACUGAGAGUAAUACCUUAUACGCCCUUCGGGGGAAAGAUUUAUCGGAGAAGGAUUAGCCCGCGUUAGAUUAGGUAGUUGGUGGGGUAAUGGCCUACCAAGCCUACGAUCUAUAGCUGGUUUGAGAGGAUGAUCAGCCACACUGGGACUGAGACACGGCCCAGACUCCUACGGGAGGCAGCAGUAGGGAAUCUUAGACAAUGGGGGAAACCCUGAUCUAGCCAUGCCGCGUGUGUGAUGAAGGCCUUAGGGUCGUAAAGCACUUUCGCCAGAGAUGAUAAUGACAGUAUCUGGUAAAGAAACCCCGGCUAACUCCGUGCCAGCAGCCGCGGUAAUACGGAGGGGGUUAGCGUUGUUCGGAAUUACUGGGCGUAAAGCGUACGUAGGCGGAUUAGUAAGUUAGAGGUGAAAUCCCAGGGCUCAACCCUGGAACUGCCUUUAAUACUGCUAGUCUUGAGUUCGAGAGAGGUAAGUGGAAUUCCGAGUGUAGAGGUGAAAUUCGUAGAUAUUCGGAGGAACACCAGUGGCGAAGGCGGCUUACUGGCUCGAUACUGACGCUGAGGUACGAAAGUGUGGGGAGCAAACAGGAUUAGAUACCCUGGUAGUCCACACCCGUAACGAUGAAUGCCAGA
Molecule: ribosomal RNA, 766 nt
Filed under: uncultured bacterium
Lineage: Bacteria
Description: bacterial SSU rRNA
Rfam family: Bacterial small subunit ribosomal RNA
Source: RNAcentral